This is a non-coding RNA of Mycena crocata, 94 nucleotides long. NCBI's taxonomy places the organism in Eukaryota, Fungi, Basidiomycota, Agaricomycetes, Agaricales, Mycenaceae. The record is from the annotation of a GenBank genome assembly.
GACCCGGUGGUGAAUUGAAUCACGUGCGCUUUGGAUGCUGCCUUCCACAUCGUGGCGCCAGCGGAAGGUGCCCGUUCAAGUCGGGUCCGGGUCC